GUGCAAAUCUUACGUAAGUAACCAUGUCUUCCUGGUGAUGCUUCUCUGUCAUGUGUAGAAGAAGCUACCUAACAGCAGGCAUAUUUAUUCACAGGUAGUUGGCCAGGCUUAUAGUCCCAGCUGUGAAUUCCCUCCUGUUGAGCAAACCUUAAGUCCAGCUAGACAACUGACUUAGAUGCCGCAUUUGCACCUUUGGAUAGCUUGACAGGUCUGCAGUGGCUCACUGCCACUGGUUGCUUUUUCCCCUUGGCAGCUUGGGUAGUACUCAGGGAGGAGAUUACCAAGUUAGUUCAACCUAUACUCCUAUGUUCAAAUUGUAUGAUGGCUUCAGCAAGGGCAGUAGCUUCUGUUGUUUGUGGGGAUCUCCUGGGAGGACCAUUAUCACCCCAGUAAACACAUUAGAAGAAUAGUACUUACUGGUGGUGCUGAUGGUGCUGGAGGUAGUGGUAUGGGUGUGUGUAUGUAAAGCCAUCACCUAUCUCAGAGAAUUCACAGUUGGGAAUUCUCUAAAGCAGCACCAGGAAAUUCAGCUCCCUUGAAGUUGUCUGUUAAAGGAAGGGACUAUGAAAGCAAACAAAGCAGCGGGAUGUCAUAUGACAGCAACCCUACCUGAAGUAGCUGGUCAGAUAUUUGAGGUGCGGGCAGUUGCUUUAUUUGUUCCAUUACGUUUAGACAGAAAGGUUCAGGUGAGUUGCUUUGCUUUGUGUAGAGGAACGGCUACUGGGAAGCAAGAGUACUUGUCAUUGUGUAGGUGAAAGAGAGUUGGGAGGUGUGCAAGGUAAUGCUUGUGUGACUGGCUUGCAUUGAGUAUUGGCAGGGGGAGAAUUAAAUGAGGUGGAAGAACAGGAAAAAUUCUAAGAGCAAAGUUGCUAGGAACUUUUAUUUUCACACCAGAGGGAGCUCAAAGCCCCAGUAUCCAGUUGGGUAUUGAAAUUGUCAAGGAUUGGGACAGCAAUGUUGAAGAAGGAAGAAUAGGUAUAGGUGGCUAUAGCAUAGAAAACAAUCUAUAGUGUGAGAUAGCUUGGGAUUUUAACAUGGCUGUUUGUAAGGGCCCACAGCGAGAAGUAGUGAGAACCAGCCAGUUCAUAAUCAAAGAUUCACAUGUAUUCUCUACAGUGCCUUCCUUCCUUCCCUAAGUCGAGAUUCUGAGUACUUUAAAAGAAUAAGGUAAGAAGGGGCUGGGGAGAUGGUUCAGCAGUUAGAGCACUGGCAGUUAUUACAGAAGAGCUGGAUUCAAAUUUCAGUACUGAUGUGGCAACUCCCAGCUACCUCUCACUCUAGUCCCAAUAGAUCCAGUACCAUCCUCUGUGGGCUCCAGGCGUGAAAGUGCUUCACAGAUACAUGCAGGCAGAAUAGCCAUACUCAUAAAAUAAAAGUAGAAAAUCUCAACG
This 1391-nucleotide long non-coding RNA is filed under the name Mus musculus (house mouse). RNAcentral describes it as "long non-coding RNA chr6:37941015-37942406". The record is from RNAcentral. Lineage: Eukaryota; Metazoa; Chordata; Mammalia; Rodentia; Muridae.